RNAcentral lists this small RNA (534 nucleotides) under Pan troglodytes (chimpanzee). RNAcentral's name for it is "retained intron". Lineage: Eukaryota; Metazoa; Chordata; Mammalia; Primates; Hominidae. The record is from RNAcentral.
CUGGCCCGCGGCAGGAAGCCCCGGCGUGAGACACUUUCGGAUUCCGUGACAACGGCCGGAUUAAACGUUUUUCUUCUCCUUUGCUACUGAACCUAUGCUGUGACUUAGAACACAAGAAACUCCGAGAGGCUGUAGGGAUUGUCUUAGCUGUCUCCCUCCUCCGCCGGCACCGCUGAAGGCAGCCCCUAUCGAGGGCGCUAAACCUCGGGGCCCUGGGUUUCUAUGACGACAAACAGGCGUUCCAGCAAAGGAGGAAGACUUCCUGAGCUAAAGGAGAAAAAAAAUAUGGUGGAUCGUUCAAAACUCCUUCCUACUUCCCUUCAGAAUGAGUUCAUUCCCAAAGAAGUUCUUCUUUCUCUGACCUAUGCGGCCAAUGCUGGUCCUUGUCCUGAAAACUUACUACCUCCUAAGAAAAUUAAAACCCCAAAGGGCACUCUUCCACGCCUUGUAGACCAUGUCUGGCAUCACCCUGUUCGAAGGAAUAAAUUCAAAUACCUGAUUGACCAUCCCGUCUCCCUCACGGGAGCUGGAAGG